ACCUACGGGGGGCAGCAGUAGGGAAUUUUCGCCAAUGGGCGCAAGCCUGAACGAGCAAUGCCGCGUGAACGAGGAAGGUCUUCGGAUCGUAAAGUUCUGUUGAAGGGGAAAAAGAGCGGAGAGAGGAAAUGGUCUCCGAUUGAUAUUACCCUUCGAGGAAGUCACGGCUAACUACGUGCCAGCAGCCGCGGUAAUACGUAGGUGGCGAGCGUUAUCCGGAAUGAUUGGGCGUAAAGGGUGCGUAGGCGGCCUGCUAAGUCUGGAGUGAAAGGUACCGGCUCAACCGGUACAGGCUCUGGACACUG
RNAcentral lists this ribosomal RNA (305 nucleotides) under uncultured bacterium. RNAcentral's name for it is "bacterial SSU rRNA". It matches the Rfam family "Bacterial small subunit ribosomal RNA", at positions 337 to 635 of the family's 1533-position model. The record is from RNAcentral.